UUAAAUCCAAAAACUUUGGGUUCGUGUGAGCAAAUGUUUACCAAUCUUUGGUUUAUGUUGAUAUUGACGUAUAUUUGCUUAUUACGAACUUCUUGGUAUUUGAGAAAUUUCUAGAUAUUCCACAAUUGUAACGAACCACAUAUAUAACGUCUUUGAAGAGGCAAUCAUGAGGUCAUUCCUUCCUUGAUAUAGUUCGAAUGGAUACAAAACAUUAAGGAAUUGUUAAAAUGAACCAAGAUUAAGAUGUAGGAGUUAGGUCAAGUUUGCUUUUAUUAUUACAUUUAUUUGAAUGUAGGAAAUGUAAUAAACUACAGUAUAUAAAUAUGUAUAUUAACCAGGGAAUAAAAAUAUAAUGGUAACCACCUAUAUAAACUCGAA
Molecule: long non-coding RNA, 378 nt
Organism: Drosophila montana
Lineage: Eukaryota; Metazoa; Arthropoda; Insecta; Diptera; Drosophilidae
Exons: 2
Source: RefSeq, a predicted model, not a curated record